GGCAAAGUUGGAGAUGGUGUUUUUCGAGAUAGCAAAGUUCUGAGGAUUGGGGUUUAUUCACUGUAUCUUGGGAGACAUUUUUUGCCACUCAGAAUUUGUGUCACUGCAUCAAAACUGGAGAUGAUGUUGACGUCUUCUCGAGCUGCUGAAAUUUGACAUGACUGAAUGGAACUCCGGAUCAUUUCAGAUGGUCAUUAAUCACAUUGCUAUGAAUCCAAGAUACAGUGGGAUUCGCAUCCAGCCAGAACAGAGAAGCAGUCACUGGCAAUAUGUAAGAAGUGUCUGGAAGAGCAUUUAAAUCCCUCAGCAUUGAAGGCUACAGGCCAAAUGGUGGAAGUCAGGAUUAAUAUGGAUGGAUUCAUCUUGGCUGGCAUGGUGAUGAAACUUCUAAAUGGAAUUAGUGUCCAGACUGACUGACUUAAUCAAGACAGUUACAAAACAAGCAAGAACGACGGAACCAACCUGUUCAAAGGAAAACAUCAAACUCCCCAGAAAAAAUGUCUGUUUCCACCUGAACCAGCCUUCUGUUCUCUACAUUUGUCCUUAUAUGAUUAUUCGCUCUGUAUUUACUUAUCAUGUAGAUGUUUCUGAAAUGCUUUGUCUCAACAUGCUUCCCUUGAAUCAAUUCCAUUUGUCACUUAUGGCCCAAAACAUUAAUAUCAUCCUGAGACUCCUGCUUUCUUUCCGCCAACCAUAUUGUCAAGUUUCUGUACUGUCCAUAAACUUUCUAAUAUAUAUUUCUUUACUUGCCUGAAUAAUUGGUGUGAAACAAAAGUCAAGUGACCACAUGCAAACCACUUCAAGUCAUAACUAUUAUCUGUUGCUUUAUGACACUGAGCCAAUUUCAGGACUAUGUUGUCCAUUUCUGUUGAAUCCUAUGAACUUUUACUUUGUGAGAGUUUGUCAAAAGUUUUUCAACACCUAUGCAAACUUUAUCAUAGCUGAUUGUUGUUGAUAAAACAGUACCUUCCUAAAUAAUAACUUAGAUCUUCACUUAAAGUUCUUUCCCAGCAAUCUGCCUAAUAUUGAUUUUGGUCUUACUGACUUGUAAUUACUUAUUUUAUAAAUUCUCCCCCUCUACAUCCUUUUAAACAAAGGUGGAAUGUUGCAAGUUUCCUAAUCUUCUAGUCAGGAAGGAUUGGAAAAUGAUGGUUGAAAUCACUACUCUUUCCACCCUUACUUCUUGUUGCCGACUAAGAGACAUUUCAUUCAAAUUUGGUAAUUACUUUCAUAAAUGCUGAAUUUCUCAUUGAGCUUGAUCAUGCUCAACAUAGCCUGCAUCUAAUCCUAUGGAACACAGCAUUCAUAGUAUCUACUGCACUGGAGACUUCUGCUCCUGGACCAUUCUGUGUGGCAGAGCAACUACAAUGGGUGACCAAGUCUCACGCAACAGAACAAGAAGCUUUCCUUGUGUCUCCAGCAUAGUUCUUAGCCUUUGAUAGCUCAUCUGUAUCUAAUCUAUUUUUCAGAGGCAUUUAAAAUCUGUAUGAAUGGAUUUAAACAGUUAAAAUUAUUUUAAAUAAUAAUUGAAAUAGAAACAUUAAAUGUAUUUAAAGUAUAUUAUAAUAAACUAAUUGAAGCAUAAAUAUGAA
Long non-coding RNA from Mobula hypostoma (lesser devil ray), 1592 nucleotides. RefSeq lists it as uncharacterized. The record is from RefSeq and is a predicted model, not a curated record. The transcript has 5 exons. NCBI's taxonomy places the organism in Eukaryota, Metazoa, Chordata, Chondrichthyes, Myliobatiformes, Myliobatidae.